GACAGUGACAAAAAGGAAGCAGCCUUCUCUAGCCCACCCAAGUUUCCAUCAAAGGAGCAAGCCUAUAAGAAGAAAGCUGGCUAACCCUCCCACCCCUUGUUUAACUCCUCCAGCCCAUCCCACAUCAUUGUAGAGUGAAGAGACUGCGGUUAAUAUUCAGAAAGAGGCGCAGAGAACUGAAGGCUUUCCUGACUUGACACCGAAUAAUAACGAAGGCCUGUGUGCUUUGCAGCAGCCUCCACGUCACCCUCUUCCAGUGCUCCGUCAGAGGACUAACGAUAUGCCACAAGAUGAUUGGCAGCAAGACACACCCAGUGAUGAAGGGAUGUGCUCUCCUUAAAUCACAGCCUAUUCAUCAGGUACUCCUGAGUGCUGUGUUAAGAAAUCCUGCCUACAAAGUUCCACUGAGGCUGAUAUAAAGAUGACUGUGAGAAACUGGCUGCGGCUGUCUGAGCAGAGACAGGAAUGGGGGCGGCAAAGGCGGGACAAGCAAGCAUCUUAAGUGAAAUAAUUGAUUGGACUGAUUCUGGAGUAUGACUUAUUCUGGAGGGAAUUUCUAAUUUUUGUUGCAGUUUGCUAUGGGACGGUUUCAAGGACAGGGAUUAGACUAGUUCUAGACUAAAAUAAAUGUAAGAGCUGUCCAAACUGAAAACAACUUGCACUGACAUAUCAUAAAAUACAUCAGUGUCUUUUGUGAUGCUUCAAAAUGCACACAAGUAAUGUUUUUAUUAAGACAUGUUAUUAAAACUAGUUAUAUUUCAGAAUUAAACUAAGGCCUAGUCCCGGUUUAAGAUAAUCCCUGUCCGGGAAACCACCCCAAAGUGUAAUUUGUGGAGUGUUAAAAUAAAUGAAACUGCCUUUGCAAAAACAAAGUAAAAAAAUUUCCAGAUGCCCUU
This is a non-coding RNA of Misgurnus anguillicaudatus (oriental weatherfish), 896 nucleotides long. The record is from RefSeq and is a predicted model, not a curated record. Lineage: Eukaryota; Metazoa; Chordata; Actinopteri; Cypriniformes; Cobitidae.